AUACACAUAUACAUAUACAUGUAUAUAUGUUCAUAUAUAUAUGUGUGUGUGUGUGUGUGUGUGUGUAU
Molecule: non-coding RNA, 68 nt
Organism: Podarcis lilfordi (Lilford's wall lizard)
Lineage: Eukaryota; Metazoa; Chordata; Lepidosauria; Squamata; Lacertidae
Source: the annotation of a GenBank genome assembly